GGCUGCCCAUAUAAACAGGGCAGUUUUGCUGCUGGAGGCCAGGCAACAAUAUUGCCUGGUAGAGAGGACUGCUGGUGUUAUCUGGAGGACCAUGCACACAAUGAAGAAGCACCCCGGGAGGUGCCCUCCACUGCUGAGUGGCAAAUGGUCACAGCCAGAACCAGGGCUGCUCGCAGCAAAGCAGUACCAGUUCCUCCAGUCUGGCUGGAUAACAGUUACAAGGCUCUGGCGACAAGGAGAAGGAAGGAGAGGAGGAAACCUCCAGUGAGGAGGCAACUCCACUCUCUUCACGCUCCGAACAGGCCGAAGGAGCCAAGCAGACCCGGAGGAGGAAGCGUCAAGUGAUUGUCAUAGGCGACUCCAUCCUGAGAGGUACAGAGAGUGAGCGGACGUGGAAGACGACAUGAGACCUGCAUCAGAGACCAACCGGUGACUUCG
This is a long non-coding RNA of Alligator sinensis (Chinese alligator), 438 nucleotides long. RefSeq lists it as uncharacterized. Lineage: Eukaryota; Metazoa; Chordata; Crocodylia; Alligatoridae. The transcript has 3 exons. The record is from RefSeq and is a predicted model, not a curated record.